GUUGCUUCUCAAUGGUGAACUCUCUCUGGAAAAGUUCCAAGUGAGGGAGUUCAAGUUUCCCGAAGCAUAAAUCAAUUUCGUCAGUAUUAAGCAGCGCGGUGUAAAUCUCUGUUGCAUCGUGCUACCUGUCUCCUGCUACAGUG
Coffea eugenioides is the source of this 143-nucleotide small nucleolar RNA. RefSeq annotates it as small nucleolar RNA snoR137. NCBI's taxonomy places the organism in Eukaryota, Viridiplantae, Streptophyta, Magnoliopsida, Gentianales, Rubiaceae. The record is from RefSeq and is a predicted model, not a curated record. The transcript has a single exon.